This 485-nucleotide ribosomal RNA is filed under the name uncultured bacterium. RNAcentral describes it as "partial 16S ribosomal RNA". It matches the Rfam family "Bacterial small subunit ribosomal RNA", at positions 899 to 1397 of the family's 1533-position model. The record is from RNAcentral.
ACUCAAAUGAAUUGACGGGGACCCGCACAAGCGGUGGAGCAUGUGGUUUAAUUCGACGAUAAGCGGGGAACCUUACCCGGUCUUGACAUCUUGGGAAGGCUUUAGAAAUAGAGCUGUGCCUUCGGGAACCCAAUGACAGGUGAUGCAUGGUUGUCGUCAGCUCGUGCCGUGAGGUGUACCCUUAAGUGGGGUAACGAGCGCAACCCUCGCACUAUGUUAAAUAUUCAUAGUGGACUGCCGGCGAUAAGCCGGAGGAAGGUGGGGAUGACGCCAAAUCAGCAUGUCCCUUAUGACCGGGGCGACACACGUGCUACAAUGGGUGCUACAAUGGGACGCCAAGCCGCAAGGUGGAGCAAAUCCCAUCAAAGGCACCCCCAGUUCGGAUUGAGGGCUGCAACUCGCCCUCAUGAAGUCGGAAUCGCUAGUAACCGCGUAUCAGCCAUGGCGCGGUGAAUACGUUCUCGGGUCUUGUACACACCGCCCGU